GACGGAGGAUGCAAGUGUUAUCCGGAAUCACUGGGCGUAAAGCGUCUGUAGGUGGUUUAAAAAGUCUACUGUUAAAAAUUGAAGCUUAACUUCAAAGGUGCCGUAGAAACUUUUAAACUCGAGGAUGGUAGGGGUAGAGGGAAUUUCCAGUGGAGCGGUGAAAUGCGUAGAUCUUGGAAAGACCACCAAUGGCGAAGGCACUCUACUGGGCCAUUACUGACACUAAGAGACGAAAGCUAGGGGAGCAAAUGGG
This 253-nucleotide ribosomal RNA is filed under the name uncultured bacterium. RNAcentral describes it as "partial 16S ribosomal RNA". It matches the Rfam family "Bacterial small subunit ribosomal RNA", at positions 524 to 776 of the family's 1533-position model. The record is from RNAcentral.